UGGGGAAUAUUGGACAAUGGGCGAAAGCCUGAUCCAGCCAUGCCGCGUGUGUGAAGAAGGUCUUCGGAUUGUAAAGCACUUUAAGUUGGGAGGAAGGGUUGUACGCUAAUACCGUGCAAUUUUGACGUUACCAACAGAAUAAGCACCGGCUAACUCUGUGCCAGCAGCCGCGGUAAUACAGAGGGUGCAAGCGUUAAUCGGAAUUACUGGGCGUAAAGCGCGCGUAGGUGGUUCGUUAAGUUGGAUGUGAAAGCCCCGGGCUCAACCUGGGAACUGCAUCCAAAACUGGCGAGCUAGAGUAGGGCAGAGGGUGGUGGAAUUUCCUGUGUAGCGGUGAAAUGCGUAGAUAUAGGAAGGAACACCAGUGGCGAAGGCGACCACCUGGGCUCAUACUGACACUGAGGUGCGAAAGCGUGGGGAGCAAACAGG
This 429-nucleotide ribosomal RNA is filed under the name uncultured Pseudomonas sp. RNAcentral describes it as "bacterial SSU rRNA". It matches the Rfam family "Bacterial small subunit ribosomal RNA", at positions 355 to 776 of the family's 1533-position model. The record is from RNAcentral. Lineage: Bacteria; Pseudomonadati; Pseudomonadota; Gammaproteobacteria; Pseudomonadales; Pseudomonadaceae.